CUAAGGUAGCGAAAUUCCUUGUCGGGUAAGUUCCGACCUGCACGAAUGGCGUAACGACUUCCCCACUGUCUCAACUAGAGGCCCAGCGAAAUUGGAGUGCGCGUGAAGAUACGCGCUACCCGCGGAAGGACGAAAAGACCCCGUGAACCUUUACUGUAGCUUGACAUUGGGUUUUGAGUAAUAUUGCGUAGGAUAGGUGGGAGAUGUUGAUGCGUGCAUUCUGGUGUACGUGGAGUCGUCCUUGAAAUACCACCCUAU
Molecule: ribosomal RNA, 258 nt
Filed under: Pseudo-nitzschia fraudulenta
Lineage: Eukaryota; Bacillariophyta; Bacillariophyceae; Bacillariales; Bacillariaceae
Description: partial Bacterial large subunit ribosomal RNA
Rfam family: Bacterial large subunit ribosomal RNA
Source: RNAcentral